This 929-nucleotide ribosomal RNA is filed under the name gut metagenome. RNAcentral's name for it is "bacterial SSU rRNA". It matches the Rfam family "Bacterial small subunit ribosomal RNA", at positions 580 to 1520 of the family's 1533-position model. The record is from RNAcentral.
CUGUUAAGUCAGCGGUCAAAUGUCGGCGCUCAACGCCGGCCUGCCGUUGAAACUGGCGGCCUUGAGUGGGCGAGAAGUAUGCGGAAUGCGUGGUGUAGCGGUGAAAUGCAUAGAUAUCACGCAGAACCCCGAUUGCGAAGGCAGCAUACCGGCGCCCAACUGACGCUGAGGCACGAAAGCGUGGGUAUCGAACAGGAUUAGAUACCCUGGUAGUCCACGCAGUAAACGAUGAAUGUCAGCUGUCCGACCCUCCGGGGUUGGGUGGCACAGCGAAAGCGUUAAACAUUCCACCUGGGGAGUACGCCGGCAACGGUGAAACUCAAAGGAAUUGACGGGGGCCCGCACAAGCGGAGGAACAUGUGGUUUAAUUCGAUGAUACGCGAGGAACCUUACCCGGGCUCAAACGCCAAUAGAAUGGCCGUGAAAGCGGCCAGCCCCUCGGGGCUGUUGGCGAGGUGCUGCAUGGUUGUCGUCAGCUCGUGCCGUGAGGUGUCGGCUUAAGUGCCAUAACGAGCGCAACCCCUACCGACAGUUGCUAACACGCGAAGGUGAGGACUCUGUCGGGACUGCCGGCGCAAGCUGCGAGGAAGGCGGGGAUGACGUCAAAUCAGCACGGCCCUUACGUCCGGGGCGACACACGUGUUACAAUGGCGGGUACAGCGGGAGGCCAUGCGGCGACGCAGAGCGGAACCCGAAAACCCGUCUCAGUUCGGAUUGGAGUCUGCAACCCGACUCCAUGAAGCUGGAUUCGCUAGUAAUCGCGCAUCAGCCACGGCGCGGUGAAUACGUUCCCGGGCCUUGUACACACCGCCCGUCAAGCCAUGGGAGCCGGGAGUGCCUGAAGUGCGUGAGCGAGAGCAGCGCCCUAGGGUAAAACCGGUGACUGGGGCUAAGUCGUAACAAGGUAGCCGUACCGGAAGGUGCGGCUG